UACAGAGGGGGCAAGCGUUGUUCGGAAUUACUGGGCGUAAAGGGCGCGUAGGCGGCCGACUAAGUCAGACGUGAAAUUCCCAGGCUCAACCUGGGAACUGCGUCUGAUACUGGACGGCUCGAGUUCGGGAGAGGGAAGUGGAAUUCCAGGUGUAGCGGUGAAAUGCGUAGAUAUCUGGAGGAACACCGGUGGCGAAGGCGGCUUCCUGGACCGACACUGACGCUGAGGCGCGAAAGCCAGGGGAGCAAACGGG
This 253-nucleotide ribosomal RNA is filed under the name uncultured bacterium. RNAcentral's name for it is "partial 16S ribosomal RNA". It matches the Rfam family "Bacterial small subunit ribosomal RNA", at positions 524 to 776 of the family's 1533-position model. The record is from RNAcentral.